AGCGAACGCUGGCGGCAGGCUUAACACAUGCAAGUCGAACGCCCCGCAAGGGGAGUGGCAGACGGGUGAGUAACACGUGGGAACGUACCCUUUGGUUCGGAAUAACUUGGGGAAACUCAAGCCAAUACCGGAUAAGCCCUUAUGGGGAAAGGUUUACUGCCGAAGGAUCGGCCCCCGUCUGAUUAGCUAGUUGGUGAGGUAAUGGCUCACCAAGGCGACGAUCAGUAGCUGGUCUGAGAGGAUGAUCAGCCACACUGGGACUGAGACACGGCCCAGACUCCUACGGGAGGCAGCAGUGGGGAAUAUUGGACAAUGGGGGCAACCCUGAUCCAGCCAUGCCGCGUGAGUGAUGAAGGCCUUAGGGUUGUAAAGCUCUUUUACCCGGGACGAUAAUGACUGUACCGGGAGAAUAAGCCCCGGCUAACUUCGUGCCAGCCGCCGCCGUAA
Molecule: ribosomal RNA, 447 nt
Filed under: uncultured bacterium
Lineage: Bacteria
Description: partial 16S ribosomal RNA
Rfam family: Bacterial small subunit ribosomal RNA
Source: RNAcentral